AUUGUAGUAACACUGAGUAGGUACCGUGUAUUGUAGUAACACUGAGUAGGUGCCAUGUAUUGUAGUAACACUGAGUAGGUUCCGUGUAUUGUAGUAACACUGAAUAGGUUCCGUGUAUUGUAGUAACACUGAGUAGGUACCGUGUAUUGUA
This is a long non-coding RNA of Oncorhynchus keta (chum salmon), 151 nucleotides long. RefSeq lists it as uncharacterized. NCBI's taxonomy places the organism in Eukaryota, Metazoa, Chordata, Actinopteri, Salmoniformes, Salmonidae. The record is from RefSeq and is a predicted model, not a curated record. The transcript is spliced from 3 exons.